Molecule: ribosomal RNA, 1095 nt
Filed under: Xanthomonas citri pv. citri
Lineage: Bacteria; Pseudomonadati; Pseudomonadota; Gammaproteobacteria; Lysobacterales; Lysobacteraceae
Description: partial 23S ribosomal RNA
Rfam family: Bacterial large subunit ribosomal RNA
Source: RNAcentral
AAGGUAAGCUACUAAGAGCAAAUGGUGGAUGCCUUGGCUAGUAGAGGCGAUGAAAGACGUGCCAGGCUGCGAUAAGUCUCGGGGAGCCGUCAAGGGGCUUUGAUCCGGGAAUUUCUGAAUGGGGCAACCCAGCUAUAUAGUGAUAUUAGUUACCGUAUAACGGAGCUAACGUUGGGAAUUGAAACAUCUUAGUACCAACAGGAAAAGAAAUCAAAAGAGAUUACGCUAGUAGCGGCGAGCGAACGCGUAAGAGGGCAAACCGUUAGUUUACUAACGGGGUUGUAGGACUGCAACAUAGACUUGAACUAACUAAUAGAAUAACCUGGAAAGGUUGACCAUAGAGGGUGAUAGUCCCGUAUAUGAAAGUGCGUUCAUACUUAGCAGUAUCCUGAGUAGGGCGGGACACGUGAAAUCCUGUCUGAAGCUGGGGAGACCACUCUCCAACCCUAAAUACUACUACUAGACCGAUAGUGCACAAGUACCGUGAGGGAAAGGUGAAAAGAACUGAGGUGAUCAGAGUGAAAUAGAACCUGAAACCAUUUGCUUACAAUCAUUCAGAGCACGAUUCUUUAUGACGUGUGAUGGACUGCCUUUUGCAUAAUGAGCCUGCGAGUUGUGGUGUCUGGCGAGGUUAAGGAAACCCGGAGCCGUAGCGAAAGCGAGUCUUAAUAGGGCGUAUAGUCAGAUGCUGCAGACCCGAAACGAUGUGAUCUAUCCAUGAGCAGGUUGAAACUGGUGUAAGAGCCAGUGGAGGACCGAACAGACGGCCGUUGAAAAGGCUCCUGAUGACUUGUGGAUAGGGGUGAAAGGCCAAUCAAACAUCGUGAUAGCUGGUUCUCUCCGAAAUAUAUUUAGGUAUAGCGUUGUGUCGUAAUUAUAAGGGGUAGAGCACUGAAUGGGCUAGGGCAUAUACCAAUGUACCAAACCCUAUCAAACUCCGAAUACUUAUAGUGUAAUCACAGCAGUCAGGCGGCGAGUGAUAAAAUCCGUCGUCAAGAGGGGAACAACCCAGACUAACAGCUAAGGUCCCUAAAUCUCAUUUAAGUGGAAAACGAUGUGGAGUUACUUAAACAACCAGGAUGUUGGCUUAGAAGC